Molecule: ribosomal RNA, 648 nt
Filed under: uncultured bacterium
Lineage: Bacteria
Description: bacterial SSU rRNA
Rfam family: Bacterial small subunit ribosomal RNA
Source: RNAcentral
AUCAUGCGAGUCGAACGGUACGGAGGGCUUCGGCCCUCACGACCGUGGCAUCCGGGUGAGUAACACGUAGGUGACCUACCUCUCGGUGGGGGACAACCCCGGGAAACCGGGGACAAUACCGCAUACGAUCCAUCGGAUACGUCUGGUGGAUGAAAGAUUUAUCGCCGAGAGAGGGGCCUGCGGCCGAUUAGCUAGUUGGUGAGGUAAUGGCUCACCAAGGCGAUGAUCGGUGGCUGGUCUGAGAGGAUGAUCAGCCACACUGGGACUGAGAUAUGGUCCAGAGCCCUACGGGGUUUAGCAUGAAGGAAUCUUGCGCAAUGGGGGAAACCCUGACGCAGCAACGCCGCGUGGGCGAUGAAGGCCCUAGGGUCGUAAAGCCCUUUUCUGGGUGAUGAAAAUGACAGUAGCCCAGGAAUAAGCCACGGCCAACUACGUGCCAGCAGCCGCGGCAAUACGUAGGUGGCGAGCGUUAUCCGGAAUUACUGGGCGUAAAGAGCACGUAGGCGGACCGGUAGGUUGUUCGUGAAAUGUCGAGGCUUAACCUCGGCACGCCGGGCAAUACCGCCGGUCUUGAGGCUGGGAGAGGGAAGCGGAACUUCCGGUGUAGUGGUGGAAUGCGUAGAUAUCGGAAGGAACACCAGCGGCGAA